AUGGGAUCGUUGAAAAGGGAAAGUAAAAAUAGGCUAUGCUCAGACAGAGAGAAUCACCACCGGCUGAAAGUGAUUUUGAGGACCCUAUUUUGAAGUGCCCCUUGGAGUCUGUUAUGGAACAUGAUUGAUUUUAAUUAGUACAUAACAGCGGUUAAGUUCUGCCGUUAUCAGAACAAGAGUUGGAAGUCUAUUAUCAUUAUGGGCUUCAAACAGAGUGGAACCGCGCACUAGCGUCUCUGUG
Molecule: non-coding RNA, 241 nt
Filed under: Ornithinibacillus halophilus
Lineage: Bacteria; Bacillati; Bacillota; Bacilli; Caryophanales; Bacillaceae
Description: T-box sequence
Rfam family: T-box leader
About the family: Uncharged tRNA acts as the effector for transcription antitermination of genes in the T-box leader family. T-boxes are found upstream of many aminoacyl-tRNA synthetase genes and some amino acid biosynthetic genes usually in Gram-positive bacteria. The anticodon of a specific tRNA base pairs to a specifier sequence within the T-box motif, and the NCCA acceptor tail of the tRNA base pairs to a conserved bulge in the T-box antiterminator hairpin.
Source: RNAcentral